GGGUGGAUGGCGAAACCGGUAUACGCAUCACACUCAAAAUGUGACGACUAAAGUCUUGAGGGUUCGAGUCCCUCUCUACCCA
This 82-nucleotide transfer RNA is filed under the name Neogoniolithon spectabile. RNAcentral describes it as "tRNA-Leu". It matches the Rfam family "tRNA". Rfam says of the family: Transfer RNA (tRNA) molecules are approximately 80 nucleotides in length. Their secondary structure includes four short double-helical elements and three loops (D, anti-codon, and T loops). The record is from RNAcentral. Lineage: Eukaryota; Rhodophyta; Florideophyceae; Corallinales; Spongitidaceae.